RNAcentral lists this ribosomal RNA (1217 nucleotides) under Cymatodera vandykei. Its description in RNAcentral is "SSU rRNA". It matches the Rfam family "Eukaryotic small subunit ribosomal RNA", at positions 32 to 1191 of the family's 1831-position model. The record is from RNAcentral. Lineage: Eukaryota; Metazoa; Arthropoda; Insecta; Coleoptera; Cleridae.
UUGUCUCAAAGAUUAAGCCAUGCAUGUCUCAGUACAAGCCAAAUUAAGGUGAAACCGCGAAAGGCUCAUUAAAUCAGUUAUGGUUCCUUAGAUCGUACCCACAUUUACUUGGAUAACUGUGGUAAUUCUAGAGCUAAUACAUGCAAAUAGAGCUCCGACCGGAGACGGAAGGAGCGCUUUUAUUAGAUCAAAACCAAUCGGUGGCGGGUUCGCUCGUCAUCGUACAACUUGGUGACUCUGAAUAACUUUCAGCUGAUCGCACGGUCCAGCACCGGCGACGCAUCUUUCAAAUGUCUGCCUUAUCAACUGUCGAUGGUAGGUUCUGCGCCUACCAUGGUCGUAACGGGUAACGGGGAAUCAGGGUUCGAUUCCGGAGAGGGAGCCUGAGAAACGGCUACCACAUCCAAGGAAGGCAGCAGGCGCGCAAAUUACCCACUCCCGGCACGGGGAGGUAGUGACGAAAAAUAACGAUACGGGACUCAUCCGAGGCCCCGUAAUCGGAAUGAGUACACUCUAAACCCUUUAACGAGGAUCAAUUGGAGGGCAAGUCUGGUGCCAGCAGCCGCGGUAAUUCCAGCUCCAAUAGCGUAUAUUAAAGUUGUUGCGGUUAAAAAGCUCGUAGUCGAAUUUGUGUCCCGCGCCGCCGGUUCAUCGUCCGCGGUGUCAACUGGCGUGUCGCGGGACGUCCUGCCGGUGGGCUUAGCUCGCAAGGGCGGCCCAACUCAAUCCCGCCGCGGUGCUCUUCACUGAGUGUCGAGGUGGGCCGGCACGUUUACUUUGAACAAAUUAGAGUGCUUAAAGCAGGCUAAAACUUCGCCUGAAUACUGUGUGCAUGGAAUAAUGGAAUAGGACCUCGGUUCUAUUUUGUUGGUUUUCGGAACCCCGAGGUAAUGAUUAAUAGGAACGGAUGGGGGCAUUCGUAUUGCGACGUUAGAGGUGAAAUUCUUGGACCGUCGCAAGACGGACAGAAGCGAAAGCAUUUGCCAAAAACGNUUUCAUUGAUCAAGAACGAAAGUUAGAGGUUNGAAGGCGAUCAGAUACCGCCCUAGUUCUAACCAUAAACGAUGCCAGCUAGCGAUCCGCCGACGUUCNUCCGAUGACUCGGCGGGCAGCUUCCGGGAAACCAAAGNUUUUGGGUUCCGGGGGAAGUAUGGUUGCAAAGCUGAAANUUAAAGGAAUNGACGGAAGGGCACCACCAGGAGUGGAGCCUGCGGCUU